AGAGUUUGAUCCUGGCUCAGAACGAACGCUGGCGGCGUGGAUAAGACGUGCAAGUCGAGCGAGAUUUUUUCCUGUAGCAAUACAGGGAAACGUCUAGCGGCGAACGGGUGCUUAACACGUGGGCAACCUGCCAAGAAGUGGGGGAUAGCUCGCCGAAAGGCGAAUUAAUACCGCAUGUGAUUAGAGUGGACAUCCAUUCAAAAUCAAAGUCGGGGCAACCUGACGCUUCUUGAGGGGCCCGCGGCCUAUCAGCUAGUUGGUGAGGUAACGGCCCACCAAGGCUUUGACGGGUAGCUGGUCUGAGAGGACGACCAGCCACACUGGGACUGAGACACGGCCCAGACACCUACGGGUGGCAGCAGUCGAGAAUUUUUCUCAAUGGGGGAAACCCUGAAGGAGCGACGCCGCGUGGAGGAUGAAGGUCUUCGGAUUGUAAACUCCUGUCAUUGGGGAACAAUGCGUAAAUAUUAACUGUAUUUGCGUUGAUAGUACCCGAAGAGGAAGAGACGGCUAACUCUGUGCCAGCAGCCGCGGUAAUACAGAGGUCUCAAGCGUUGUUCGGAUUCAUUGGGCGUAAAGGGUGCGUAGGCGGCGCGGUAAGUCGGGUGUGAAAUCUCGGAGCUUAACUCCGAAACUGCAUUCGAUACUGCCGUGCUUGAGGACUGGAGAGGAGACUGGAAUUUACGGUGUAGCGGCGAAAUGCGUAGAUAUCGUAAGGAAGACCAGUGGCGAAGGCGGGUCUCUGGACAGUUCCUGACGCUGAGGCACGAAGGUCAGGGGAGCAAACGGGAUUAGAUACCCCGGUAGUCCUGACAGUAAACGGUGCACGUUUGGUGUGGGAGGAUUCGACCCCUUCUGCGCCGGAGCUAACGCGUUAAACGUGCCGCCUGGGGAGUACGGUCGCAAGAUUAAAACUCAAAGAAAUUGACGGGGGCCCGCACAAGCGGUGGAGUAUGUGGCUCAAUUCGAUGCAACGCGAAGAACCUUACCAGGCCUUGACAUGCAUCUCUAAGUUGGUGAAAGCCAGCGAGUCCCGAAAGGGACAAUUUGCACAGGUGCUGCAUGGCUGUCGUCAGCUCGUGUCGUGAGAUGUUGGGUUACAAGGUAACCGU
Molecule: ribosomal RNA, 1112 nt
Filed under: uncultured Spartobacteria bacterium
Lineage: Bacteria; Pseudomonadati; Verrucomicrobiota; Spartobacteria
Description: bacterial SSU rRNA
Rfam family: Bacterial small subunit ribosomal RNA
Source: RNAcentral